AUUGAACGCUGGCGGCAUGCCUUACACAUGCAAGUCGAACGGCAGCACGGGUGCUUGCACCUGGUGGCGAGUGGCGAACGGGUGAGUAAUACAUCGGAACGUACCUUAUCGUGGGGGAUAACGCAGCGAAAGCUGUGCUAAUACCGCAUACGCCCUGAGGGGGAAANCGGGGGAUCGAAAGACCUCGCGCGAUUAGAGCGGCCGAUGCCUGAUUAGCUUGUUGGUGGGUAAAAGCCACCAAGGCGACGAUCAGUAGCUGGUCUGAGAGGACGAUCAGCCACACUGGGACUGAGACACGGCCCAGACUCCUACGGGAGGCAGCAGUGGGGAAUUUUGGACAAUGGGGGAAACCCUGAUCCAGCAAUGCCGCGUGAGUGAAGAAGGCC
RNAcentral lists this ribosomal RNA (386 nucleotides) under uncultured bacterium. RNAcentral's name for it is "bacterial SSU rRNA". It matches the Rfam family "Bacterial small subunit ribosomal RNA", at positions 29 to 416 of the family's 1533-position model. The record is from RNAcentral.